GACGAACGCUGGCGGCGUGCCUAAUACAUGCAAGUCGAACGCAGUGGGGACGGGUGAGUAACACGUGGGUAACCUCCCAUCAGAGGGGAUAACACUUGGAAACAGGUGCUAAACCGAUACUGAUGGAUGGACCCGCGGUGCAUUAGCUAGUUGGUGAGGUAACGGCUCACCAAGGCCACGAUGCAUAGCCGAGCGGAUGGGCGGAUCGGCCACACUGGAACUGAGACACGGCCUAGACUCCUACGGGAGGCAGCAGUAGGGAAUCUUCGGCAAUGGACGAAAGUCUGACCGAGCAACGCCGCGUGAGUGAAGAAGGCUUUCGGCUCGGAAACCACUGUUGUUAGAGAAGCGGUAUCUAACCAGAAAGCACCGGCUAACUACGUGACAGCAGCCGCGGUAAUAC
Molecule: ribosomal RNA, 403 nt
Filed under: uncultured bacterium
Lineage: Bacteria
Description: partial 16S ribosomal RNA
Rfam family: Bacterial small subunit ribosomal RNA
Source: RNAcentral